Molecule: non-coding RNA, 311 nt
Organism: Camellia sinensis
Lineage: Eukaryota; Viridiplantae; Streptophyta; Magnoliopsida; Ericales; Theaceae
Source: RefSeq, a predicted model, not a curated record
GAAGGGAAGGGUAGGGUUUCAAUCUCUCUCUCUGUGCACACUUCGACGGUACGGCGAAACUGAUUCGGCAGCGGUGACAAUCAACGGAACACUCAGUCGCUGCUUUCACCCGUGUUCUUGAUGAGGCCAGUGUUGUUCUUCUCUUCAGAGACAAAGUCUAUCUUCAUCCCGAUAAGGUAUAUACAAGUGGGGAAUGCAGUUGCAUUUCUAGUAUCUAUGGCAUUCGGAAGUAUGUUGGCAAAGGGAAGCUAAGGAGUCUCAAAUAAUGAACCCUUGACAACAACUGAUUUGAAAUUCCCUCUGAGUCCUGU